Long non-coding RNA from Papaver somniferum (opium poppy), 5016 nucleotides. RefSeq lists it as uncharacterized. The record is from RefSeq and is a predicted model, not a curated record. NCBI's taxonomy places the organism in Eukaryota, Viridiplantae, Streptophyta, Magnoliopsida, Ranunculales, Papaveraceae. The transcript is spliced from 7 exons.
AUUUUUAGUUUUUUCACUAACAACCUUACCUUUGUUCAUUUUAUUUGUUUAAUUUUUUAUAUUUGCUCUCGGUUUCUAAUUAUAAGUUUUGUUUUUAUUUUGCAGCCGAGGGUUAAUCUCUCUGCACCAAGUCAUUGACAGGCUUGCAAGCACAUCUCCAGUUCAUUCUGUUUGCUCUCUUCCACUUCAUUCGGUUUACCCUACUUCAAACCUUCAGGUGUAAAGGUCCAGUGCUAACUGUGAGGUUUAAUGUAGGUUAAGCUGAAUGAAUUGGAAUAGGAGAUAAGUCCCUUUUCGCUGACAUUGACUUGCAUGUUGGCUAUGGAUGGUAUUGGUAAGGAGCCCCUUUGAAUCAAUUUAUCUUAUUAUUGCAGUAUGUAAGUGGCAUGAGUAUAUUAGAUUUGUCCCCAUUUACUGCAGAUGGUUACUAAACAAUGGGAUUUGAUGGUACUUUCAGAACUGAAUAUCAUGAUAAGAAACUACACAAUUACAUUUCUUUGUUUGAAUAGCAUUAUCGGGAUGAUUCUAAUUGCGCACAGUAUGAGGUUGACAUGCAUUACUUCAGUCUAUUAGAUUCACACUCAAUUAUGAUUCUAAUGAUUGUUCUCAAGUGGUAAUAAGGUUAUUGUACUAUGUUAACCAGAAGAUAACUUAUUAGGGUUGCAACUAAGAAGAAUGUAAGAUCAGCAACAAUCUUUGUUUAAGUUUGAACAGAACAAAUUAGAUUUUCUGGUUUGGUUGUGAUUCUCAUUGUAUAGGCAGUUGUAGGUUCCCUCAGGCCUCAACAUUUAGAAAGAAUCUAGAUUGGCAAUAGAGAGGUUGCAUGAUUCUUUGGCUGCAGUAAUUGAAAAGGCUAAGCAAUGCCUACCAAAGGGUAAAAUCAAAUUUUAAAGUUGGUAUUUCUAUUUAAAUGUCAUAUUUUGUCUGUGAGUUAUCUGAAGGUAUGCUUCAUGUGGCUGUAGUUGAAUUUUUUAGUGAUGGAGUAAAUGUUUUUGAUGAAUCGGUCAAUAUUUACUCCAUCAGUAAGAAUAUUUUUAGUCCAUACUGCAAUCUUGCAGGGACACCUUGCACUAACGGCAGUGUUUGAUCAGUGAAUAUAGAGGUGUGCGAGAAAGUCUUCAUUCAAGUUAGUCCGUUUUCUUGAUGGAUGAUAUGAGCAGGGAUACUUAUGGAUUCGUAGUGAGACCUCAACACCCUAAGAGGUAUCAAGAGUACGCUAUUAUCUUCAAGGAAGAUAAGCUUCAGAACAACUGCCCACCCGUAAGGCUUGAUAUCUGAUGCUCCAGCAGGCAUCAUUGAUUUGACACUAGAGGCGGCUGCAUGGAUUGAUGAAGGAACGCUAAAAGAAUCAGAGGAACAACAUUCUCCACCAAGAGUGUCUUCACAGUUUGAAAACACUAUGAUUCAUGCUGCUCAUGAAAUCUUCAAUGGCCUACUUCCUGAUGUUCAUAUAUUUACAGAUCAUAAAGUUGGAGAUAAAGCUGGAAAGGUGCUUCAUCUUUAUUGAUACUGCAGUUAGCUAUUCAAGAGGGGAGGGAAAAACAAUCGCUGUGAUUCCAUGGCAUCAUUGGCAUGCAAUCACAUGCUGAUGCCGCCUGAAGAGAUUGGUGAGCUAAUUGCUUCUAGGAGAGAUUGAACAAGGAGGAGUGGUGGACUCAACACAUCAGGUUUGUAAACUAAGCUGUAAUUUGUUGUGAUACCUUUUCCGUUAUUUGUUAUUAUGAUUUCUUAGCCUUGUCAACACAUCAACUUUUUGGAUAAGAUGGCCUGAUGUUAACCUGCAUAAAACUCUAAAACAGUCCAUGAUCUGCAUGGCUCAUUUUCUGCAGAAUUCCAUCUUUUAUAUACAUACACAUGAUGGUACCCGGCUUGAUUAGGAAGGCCAGUACCAUGAUGUUUGUUUGGUCACCUGAGUUGUGGAAGAUUAAUUAUCUGAGCAUCUAUGUUGGGUUACUUCAUUAGUUCAUUUCAAUGACAAAAUGUAGCUGAUGUACAUAUGUUGGGGCGAUGCAUAGUUUACUGUGUGGAUUGGCUAGAUAUCAUAUGAAGAGCGGUAAUUAGGUUAACUGUUGAGGAAUUUUGUUUUCUUUUUUGUUUUCUAUUCCCGUCAGUCCUGAUUGUCAUCAUGUUUGUUUAUGUGGGUGUGAUUUCAAGUAAAGUCUUAAAUCACAUGCUGACAGCCCAUGGGGUAUCACAAUAUAAGCAUAAGCUAUUAGAAGUUUGCAUAAUCAAGGGUAGGUUUUGUUCUCUCGAAUACACAAGCAUCUCCAUUAAUUAGUCGGUGAUAUUUAGCAAAGGUAACCCACCAGCCACUUAACCCAACCUUCUUUGCUAGAUAAGUAGUUUCGAAUUUGUCCCCCUCUUCAUCAAGCACAGUAACUUGUGCAUCCUUUUUUGGCAGGUGCGUCUUGCAAAACCGUUAGGAAGACCCUCUUAUGAUUAAUCGUAGUAGGGCCUUCCUAGCGGUUUUUGCAAGAACCACCUGCUAAAAAGGAAUGCACAAGUUUUUUCCAUUGAUGAAGAUGGGGUCGAGUUUGAAACUACUUAUCUAGCAUGAAAGAUUUGGUUAAGUGACGGGUGAAUGAAUUUGCUAAAAAUCACCAACUAGUUGAUGAAGGUGCUUGUGUAUUCCAAAUAACAAAACCUACCGAGUUUAAGGUGAUUAUGCAAACUUAUAGUAGCUUAUGCUUGUAAUACUCCUUUAUUUAAUUCUUUUUUAUGUGAUGGUGAUUGGUUAGAACAUGCUAUCAGAAAUGAGUGUGUCCGUGGUAAACUUGGGGUAGCACCAAUGAAGGAUAUACUAUCACAACAUCGGUUACGUUGGUUCGGACAUCUUCAACGAAGACCAGCUGACGCCCCGGUUCGUUUAGGACGCAUAACACGGCCGGAAGGUAGAAUGAAGCGUCUAGGACGACCGAAACUCACAUGGGAUGAACUGAUUAUACGGGACUUGACUGACCGAGGCUUGGAGAGAGAUUUGGCGUUCGACAGAACUGCGUGGAAAGCAGUGAUCCACGUGAAGGAGGUAUGUACACGAGCCAUGGCAGAAUUGUGAAUGGGGGACCCCCAGUAGCUCUGCAGCUCGCAGGAUUGUGAAGGGGGGACCCCCUCGUAGCCCUGCAUCCGGGACAUGGAGUAUGUGGAUACAUCAUCUUAAUGGUCGCGAACGCGUAAUCCCAUUGAAAUGAUGGCUACUGCACCCUCUGUACCGAAAACGAACACGACAAGGAAUGUGUUAAGGAUUACUCUUACCUCCGGGUAAGUUGCGUCUAGGCCUGCAGGCAGCCGGUGUAAAAACUUCGCCGCAUCUCUGGAGAUAAGAUUGUUACGCGGUUUAUCUCCGCCCGACCUAGUACUUGCUACUGGAAAAUGGCUCUGGUUUCUGGUUUCUGGUGAUUGGUUAGAACUAUUGCAAAACUUAAUUGGUAUGAACUUCUCCUUUUAUUAGUUAUCUUAUCUUCUCCCCACCGUGGUCUAUAAAAUUUGCUAUUUGAUUAUAUUGGAUUCCAGGAUUUGUUACUCCUUCUUUGUGCUUUAUGCCAGAAAGAUUUUUCGAAGGUAUGUGUUUGAAAGCUUUCACCUCAUGCUAUAGAAACACUCAGACAUAUCAGGGAUUUCCUCCGGUGUCAAGUUUGUUUCUAGAUAGAAAUUCCUACCCAACCAGUAAUUCAAUAGGUGACACCAUUCUAAUUUCUAAAUGUUUUUUGAACCAGUAAUGCCAUUCUAAAUAUAUACAAGGCCAACAAGUGAAAUAGAAACAAUACAUAUCUGUCCUAGCUCAAAGAGUAAGGAAGCAUCACGUCAAAUAAUUGGAUCAAAAAACGAAAUAUUAUACAACGUAUCUUGAAAAUUAUUGGUUUAGACAUCUAUGGGGGUGAUAUUAUUAUGGGGUGAUAUUAUUGUUUUCUUGCUUAUUCUAGAUAUCCUGUCAUCUUCUACUUUGUUAAUAUAACUAGUAAUGCCAUUAUUACCAUUUGAAGCUGUAGUCUAAAGCGAUGUACCCAUACUCCGAACCAAGCUUGAAUCUUUUAUAGUUUUAUUGUUGUACUACUAUUGCACGUUUCGAAGUUCCAAAAGUUAUUCACAGAUAAUGAUAGGGCCUUCCUAGCCCUACUUUGCCUAAAUCCUUAAAUGGCGAUAGGAAAAAUACAUAGCAAAAUCAUUCAUUUUAAUCCAUGUUGAUUGCUUUUAUACAGUUAGGAGGCUUAGAGAUUGAGAGAAUUGGAGGGAAACUUUGUAAAUAAACAGAUCAGCUUAGUACAUCUCAUAGUUAUAAAUAUGACCCUGGAGCUUUUAAUAGUACAAGAUGUAGAAGACAGAGAAUCCAUAUCAUUUAUGCUGUUAACUCUUUCAAUCAACAUUUGGUGCAUAUGGUUCUUAUUAACUUCGGCAAUUGAUAUCUGGAGCAUAGGAUGCAUAUUUGUUUAUUUUGUGCUUUCCUUUUAGCUAUCUCGAUUAGUAAGUGUUCAUGCUCACACUUUUUAGUUUUUGUUCUUUUGAACUGCCCUUGCAACUUUUUUGGUUUUAGGUUAAAGGGAAAGUUUGGUACAGACCAAUAAAGUAGUGAAGCAGGUUAGUGAGAACAUUUUUCCGAGGUUUUCGAGAAAACUAAUGCUUCAGCUGCUCUUGCUGCGGGGGAAUAUCUCACUUGGCCAAAACAGUCUCGGAUGGCGAAAUGAUAAUGCUCCCUCUAGCACAUACAACAGAAUCAGGUGGUAGGUUUCUCCAUCAGUACUUUAUGCAAAUGUAUAAUCUGGAGGUGGUGGGUAGUGUUUGCGGAUAUAUUGUAGUGUUUUUGGUUGCGUGAGUUUCUAAGAAUUACCUCCUUCAAAUAGCACACUAAAGGAUGUUAUAACUUAUAUUACAAAAGACACCAACAAUAGGAUAGUUCUUAACAUUUUGGUAUAUGAAUUUUUCGAUGUACAUAGAAAUUUGUAAAAUUACCAUGAUUUUCCAGAUGUUUUAAAUAUAAAUGAAUGGAAGCCUUGAAACCCAAUAAAACCAUGGUUUACAAAA